RNAcentral lists this ribosomal RNA (253 nucleotides) under uncultured bacterium. RNAcentral's name for it is "partial 16S ribosomal RNA". It matches the Rfam family "Bacterial small subunit ribosomal RNA", at positions 524 to 776 of the family's 1533-position model. The record is from RNAcentral.
UACGUAGGUGGCAAGCGUUGUCCGGAAUUAUUGGGCGUAAAGCGCGCGCAGGCGGUUUCUUAAGUCUGAUGUGAAAGCCCACGGCUUAACCGUGGAAGGUCAUUGGAAACUGGGAGACUUGAGUGCAGAAGAGAAGAGCGGAAUUCCACGUGUAGCGGUGAAAUGCGUAGAGAUGUGGAGGAACACCAGUGGCGAAGGCGGCUCUCUGGACCGACACUGACGCUGAGGCGCGAAAGCGUGGGGAGCAAACAGG